Long non-coding RNA from Setaria italica (foxtail millet), 417 nucleotides. RefSeq lists it as uncharacterized. The transcript is spliced from 3 exons. The record is from RefSeq and is a predicted model, not a curated record. NCBI's taxonomy places the organism in Eukaryota, Viridiplantae, Streptophyta, Magnoliopsida, Poales, Poaceae.
CAUCAGGUGCAAUUUGACCCCCAUGGUCGAAAGGUAGUGGCAGUAGGGCGUGACAUCUCUGACAGAUUAUUGACCACAAGUGGGACAUGUACUGAUUCACGUGGAUCUCUAUAUAGUCGGUAUCUUAUGUUCUCUACAUGUAAAUUAUCUGAGGUUAUGCAGGGCGGUGCACUUUAUGAUUUUUAUGGGAACUUUUUUGGCAUCAACCUCUUCUGGGAUAUGGAAAGAACAAUUUUCUUGCCAAGGAGUAUAAUUCUCGAACGUGUGGUGCAUUUUCGUACAUCCUUGAAAAAGAGUGUAUUUCUAAACCUGGUGAAGCCAGUCAGGGAUAAAAAAAGACAAAUAAGACGCAUAGGUGUGAAACUUCUCCCUCGUCCUGAAGGUGAGUACACAACCACUUGACAUUGGUUAUCAGAU